This 85-nucleotide transfer RNA is filed under the name Candidatus Woesebacteria bacterium. RNAcentral describes it as "tRNA-Ser". It matches the Rfam family "tRNA". Rfam says of the family: Transfer RNA (tRNA) molecules are approximately 80 nucleotides in length. Their secondary structure includes four short double-helical elements and three loops (D, anti-codon, and T loops). Lineage: Bacteria; Candidatus Woeseibacteriota. The record is from RNAcentral.
GGAGGUGUCGCAUAGUGGUCUAUUGCACACGCCUGGAAAGCGUGAGCUCGCAAGGGCUUCGUGGGUUCGAAUCCCACCUCCUCCG